RNAcentral lists this ribosomal RNA (2931 nucleotides) under Anaerosalibacter bizertensis. RNAcentral describes it as "23S ribosomal RNA". It matches the Rfam family "Bacterial large subunit ribosomal RNA". The record is from RNAcentral. Lineage: Bacteria; Bacillati; Bacillota; Tissierellia; Tissierellales; Sporanaerobacteraceae.
UGGUCAAGCUAAUAAGAGCAUAGGGCGAAUGCCUUGGCACCAGAAGCCGAUGAAGGACGGGGUAAGCACCGAUAUGCUUCGGGGAGCUGCAAACAAGCUUUGAUCCGAGGAUCUCCGAAUGGGGAAACCCACCUAGAUUUUCUAGGUAUCAUCUACUGAAUACAUAGGUAGAUGAAGGGAUACCAGGGGAACUGAAACAUCUAAGUACCCUGAGGAAAAGAAAGAAAACUCGAUUUCCUAAGUAGCGGCGAGCGAAAGGGAAACAGCCUAAACCUAUUGAGUUUACUCUUUAGGGGUUGUGGACCAGCAUUUAAUAAGUUCUUCUUGUAACUGAAUGACCUGGAAAGGUCAACCGUAGAAGGUGAUAGUCCUGUAAGUGAAACUAGUUGACUUAUUGCUGGUAUCCGGAGUACCAUGGGGCACGUGAAAUCCUGUGGGAAGCUGGGAGGACCAUCUCCCAAGGCUAAAUACUAACUGGUGACCGAUAGUGAACAAGUACCGUGAGGGAAAGGUGAAAAGAACCCCGGAAGGGGAGUGAAAUAGAAUCUGAAACCCUAUGUUUACAAGCAGUGGAAGCACUUUAUAUGUGCGACCGCGUACUUUUUGUAGAACGGGCCAGCGAGUUACGAUAUAUAGCAAGGUUAAACUUUUUUAAAGUGAAGCCGUAGGGAAACCAAGUCUCAAUAGGGCGUUUAGUUGUAUGUCGUAGACCCGAAACCGGGUGACCUACCCAUGAGCAGAGCGAAACGAAAGUAAAAUUUCGUGGAGGCUCGAACCGUUUAGUGUUGAAAAACUAUCGGAUGACUUGUGGGUAGCGGUGAAAUUCCAAUCGAACCCGGAUAUAGCUGGUUCUCCUCGAAAUAGCUUUAGGGCUAGCCUCAAGAUAGUGACGUGGAGGUAGAGCACUGAAUGGUCUAGGGGCACUUAGUGCUACCAAAACCUAUCAAACUCCGAAUGCCACAGUCAUGUUUCUUGGGAGUCAGACUGCGGGAGAUAAGUUUCGUAGUCGAGAGGGAAAGAGCCCAGACCACCAACUAAGGUCCCUAAAUCCAGAUUAAGUGGGAAAGGAUGUAAAGUUACACAGACAACCAGGAUGUUGGCUUAGAAGCAGCCAUUCAUUUAAAGAGUGCGUAAUAGCUCACUGGUCGAGUGGCUUUGCGCCGAAGAUUUCCGGGGCUAAAAUCUGGUACCGAAGUUGUGGAUUCGUAAGAAUGGUAGAGGAGCAUUCUGUACGGGCUGAAGCUACACCGUAAGGAGUGGUGGACUGUACAGAAGAGAGAAUGCUGGCAUGAGUAGCGAUAAGGCGAGUGAGAAUCUCGCCCGUCGAAAGCCUAAGGUUUCCUGAGGAAGGCUCGUCCUCUCAGGGUUAGUCGGGACCUAAGCCCAGGCCAAAUGGCGUAGGCGAUGGACAACAGGUUGAGAUUCCUGUACUGUUUACAUGCGUUUGAGAGAUGGGGUGACGCAGGAGGAUAGGCUAUGCGUACUGUUGGUUAUGUACGUCCAAUCCUGUAGAGAGCUCCUAUAGGCAAAUCCGUAGGAGAGUCUCAAGAGGUGAUGGGGAGCGAAAAAUAAGUAGUGAAGUAGCUGAAUCCAUACUGCCAAGAAAAGCCUCUAUCGAGUAUGUAAAUACCCGUACCGCAAACCAACACAGGUAGGCGAGGAGAAAAUCCUAAGACGUUCGGAAGAACCCUUGUUAAGGAACUAGGCAAAAUAACCCCGUAACUUCGGGAGAAGGGGUGCCGACUAAGGUGAAGCACUUGCUGCGUAAGCUUUAGUUGGCCGCAGUGAAUAGGCCCAAGCGACUGUUUACCAAAAACAUAGGUCUCUGCUAAGUCGAAAGACGAUGUAUAGGGGCUGACACCUGCCCGGUGCUGGAAGGUUAAGGGGAAGAGUUAGCGUAUGCGAAGCUCAGAACUUAAGCCCCAGUAAACGGCGGCCGUAACUAUAACGGUCCUAAGGUAGCGAAAUUCCUUGUCGGGUAAGUUCCGACCCGCACGAAAGGUGUAACGACUUGGGCACUGUCUCAACAAGGGAUCCGGUGAAAUUGUAGUACUCGUGAAGAUGCGAGUUACCCGCGACAGGACGGAAAGACCCCGUGGAGCUUUACUGUAGGCUGACAUUGGAUUUCGGUAUUGCUUGUACAGCAUAGGUGGGAGACUAAGAUACCAGGGCGCUAGCUUUGGUGGAGUCAUCAUUGGGAUACCACUCUUGCAAUGCUGAAGUUCUAACCAGAGGCUGUGAAUCCAGUCUUGGGACACUGUCAGUCGGGCAGUUUGACUGGGGCGGUCGCCUCCCAAAAAGUAACGGAGGCGCUCAAAGGUUCCCUCAGCACGGUCGGAAAUCGUGCAUAGAGUGCAAAGGCAUAAGGGAGCUUAACUGCGACACCUACAAGUGGAGCAGAAAGGAAACUUGGACUUAGUGAUCCGGUGGCACCGCAUGGAAGGGCCAUCGCUCAACGGAUAAAAGCUACCCCGGGGAUAACAGGCUUAUCUCCCCCAAGAGUCCACAUCGACGGGGAGGUUUGGCACCUCGAUGUCGGCUCGUCUCAUCCUGGGGCUGGAGUAGGUCCCAAGGGUUGGGCUGUUCGCCCAUUAAAGAGGCACGCGAGCUGGGUUCAGAACGUCGUGAGACAGUUCGGUCCCUAUCCGUCGUGGGCGCAGGAAAUUUGAGAAGAGCCAUUCCUAGUACGAGAGGACCGGAAUGGACAGACCGCUGGUGCAUCAGUUGUCUUGCCAAAGGCACAGCUGAGUAGCUAUGUCUGGAAGGGAUAAGUGCUGAAGGCAUCUAAGCACGAAGCCUCCUUCAAGAUGAGAUUUCCCAUCGUAAGAGUAAGACUCCAAGUAGACUACUUGGUUGAUAGGUCCCAGGUGUAAGAGUAGCAAUAUUCUUAGCUAAGGGAUACUAAUAAGUCGAGGGCUUGACCAAUUAUCU